UUUCUGACCUGGAGGGUACACCAAGUGCUGGAGUAACUCAGCGGGACCGGCAGCAUCUCUGGAGAAAUAGGAUCAGGUGACGUUUCCUGUCAAGAAACCUUC
This is a long non-coding RNA of Amblyraja radiata (thorny skate), 102 nucleotides long. RefSeq lists it as uncharacterized. The transcript is spliced from 3 exons. NCBI's taxonomy places the organism in Eukaryota, Metazoa, Chordata, Chondrichthyes, Rajiformes, Rajidae. The record is from RefSeq and is a predicted model, not a curated record.